GAUGAACGCUGGCGGCGUGCCUAAUACAUGCAAGUCGAGCGAACGGACGAGAAGCUUGCUUCUCUGAUGUUAGCGGCGGACGGGUGAGUAACACGUGGAUAACCUACCUAUAAGACUGGGAUAACUUCGGGAAACCGUAGCUAAUACCGGAUAAUAUUUUGAACCGCAUGGUUCAAAAGUGAAAGACGGUCUUGCUGUCACUUAUAGAUGGAUCCGCGCUGCAUUAGCUAGUUGGUAAGGUAACGGCUUACCAAGGCAACGAUGCAUAGCCGACCUGAGAGGGUGAUCGGCCACACUGGGACUGAGACACGGUCCAGACUCCUACGGGAGGCAGCAGUAGGGAAUCCUCCGCAAUGGGCGAAAGCCUGACGGAGCAACGCCGCGUGAGUGAUGAAGGUCUUCGGAUCGUAAAACUCUGUUAUUAGGGAAGAACAUAUGUGUAAGUAACUGUGCACAUCUUGACGGUACCUAAUCAGAAAGCCACGGCUAACUACGUG
Molecule: ribosomal RNA, 497 nt
Filed under: uncultured bacterium
Lineage: Bacteria
Description: partial 16S ribosomal RNA
Rfam family: Bacterial small subunit ribosomal RNA
Source: RNAcentral